RNAcentral lists this ribosomal RNA (406 nucleotides) under uncultured bacterium. RNAcentral describes it as "bacterial SSU rRNA". It matches the Rfam family "Bacterial small subunit ribosomal RNA", at positions 8 to 418 of the family's 1533-position model. The record is from RNAcentral.
AGAGUUUGAUCCUGGCUCAGAUUGAACGCUGGCGGCAUGCCUUACACAUGCAAGUCGAACGGCAGCGCGGGGCAACCUGGCGGCGAGUGGCGAACGGGUGAGUAAUAUAUCGGAACGUACCCUGGAGUGGGGGAUAACGUAGCGAAAGUUACGCUAAUACCGCAUACGAUCUAAGGAUGAAAGUGGGGGAUCGCAAGACCUCAUGCUCCUGGAGCGGCCGAUAUCUGAUUAGCUAGUUGGCGGGGUAAAAGCCCACCAAGGCAACGAUCAGUAGCUGGUCUGAGAGGACGACCAGCCACACUGGAACUGAGACACGGUCCAGACUCCUACGGGAGGCAGCAGUGGGGAAUUUUGGACAAUGGGCGCAAGCCUGAUCCAGCAAUGCCGCGUGAGUGAAGAAGGCCUU